Portunus trituberculatus (swimming crab) is the source of this 1515-nucleotide long non-coding RNA. RefSeq lists it as uncharacterized. NCBI's taxonomy places the organism in Eukaryota, Metazoa, Arthropoda, Malacostraca, Decapoda, Portunidae. The transcript has 2 exons. The record is from RefSeq and is a predicted model, not a curated record.
CACAUCGAAGGGACUAUUAUCCACCCGCUCGGUGCCAGUCCUUCUCCUACCGUUGCCGAGGUCCGUCCCGUCCGCUCGCUCGCAAUCAAUAUGAACACGCAUACGCCUCCCGUCCCCCGCCAGGACUCACAACGGAGGCUGGCACCAUUACUUGCAACACUCACACAUCGGAACCUCAGAAGGUGCCGAAAAAAAACCUUCUCGCCAAACAGGAUCGAACGGGAGAUUCAAAGGGUGGUGGCGGUGGCGGUGGCGGUGGCUGUGAUCUUAACAUUUCCGAUGUUCUGUACCUGACCGAUGUGGAUUCCGAGGCUUUGUGUCUUCAUCCCCUCCACCACCAGUGACAGGACCACUUGCCUCCACGUCCUGUCCGUAACACUGACCAGGAUCCGAGCGUAAGCUCGCAUGAAUGAGUGAAGACAACAGCCACGAGAAUGGAGCACCCUGUAGCCGUCGUGUGCCAUGUGCCUUACAGACGCCCACUUUAGAGGGAGAAAACUGAGCUCGAGAAUUCAAACCACUGAAAAAAAUUAUUGACACCUACGAACUGUCUAUGACUCUACAGCGUCCCGGAAGCGUGAGAGAUCGUCAAGGUGGCUCGUUGUGACGUGACAUCCUAGAAAUGUGCAAGUAGACCACUAUGACUUAAACACCAAAUGCAAUUUUCAUCUCGCCCUCCGUUAGUGUAUCACUGAUUCUUAACUGGACUCCUGCUUGAACGCUGCCUUUCACCAGAUACCGUUGUCUUCCAUGUAAUACCGCUGUCUCUCUCCAUGAACUACUCUCCCACCUGUCAUGUUGUCUACUCAUGGUGGCGGUUCUCUGCUAUGUUUUAGCUCGUUAGCGGAUGUAUAUACUUUUAUCCUUGCGAAUCAGUUUUCCACACGAAAUCCUCUAAGAUUAUGUGAAAAGAUCUCAAUGAAAUUCCGAAACAGAGGGAUCUUGCCAAGCAAUAAUGAAUAAGCAUUUGAUAUAGGUGGCAUAAGUAUGUUCGUGUUGUGCCAAGUCGCUUUCAAGCUCACCCUAACAUCCUAAAAGCAUGCAGAGAAUAUCAAAAUAUAGGUUCUGUCAACGAAAAUGCAUGCUAGCUACGUAGUAUAUUUAUGAUGUUGACGGAAAUAUGCGCUCUUAGAGUGCCUUUUGGUCUUCCUAUCUGCGUCUUCUCAUCUACAAAACAGAGUGCCGUCUUCCUUAGGGUAUCGUUAGUUUUCAUCCCGUGUCGAAGAACGCCGCUUUUCUGCCUGCAAACUUCAUGUCGUGCUUCCAAGAGAUCUUCCAUCGAAUGUUCGGUAUAACUGAGGUUAUUCCUUCCAGACUGAGACGUUGAAUAGAACUAAACUUGUCAUUCACUAUGAAGUAACUAAUUUCACCUGUUAUGUACAGAAUUGCACUGUCACUGAGUCGUUUUUACUCUAUGUGCGUGAAAUUAUAUCACUUGUAUUGUCUCUAAACCUGAUUCUUGACGUAAACCGUGUAUUACGUAAUAAAGAAAAAAAAUAUACGUAGAAAACGUUA